GCAAAUAUAGUCUAAAAAAGACAUUAGAUUGUGAUUCUAAAAAUAAAAGUUAAACCCUUUUUAUUUGCC
Molecule: transfer RNA, 69 nt
Filed under: Lepidogalaxias salamandroides (salamanderfish)
Lineage: Eukaryota; Metazoa; Chordata; Actinopteri; Lepidogalaxiiformes
Description: tRNA-His
Rfam family: tRNA
About the family: Transfer RNA (tRNA) molecules are approximately 80 nucleotides in length. Their secondary structure includes four short double-helical elements and three loops (D, anti-codon, and T loops).
Source: RNAcentral